Physeter macrocephalus (sperm whale) is the source of this 1356-nucleotide long non-coding RNA. RefSeq lists it as uncharacterized. The transcript is spliced from 4 exons. The record is from RefSeq and is a predicted model, not a curated record. Lineage: Eukaryota; Metazoa; Chordata; Mammalia; Artiodactyla; Physeteridae.
AGAACAAGAGGAGGGGAGGGGCGGGAGGUACGCGCAAUAAGCUGGAUCGCAGAGGGGACAGGGACUUGUGCUGGAGGUGGCACUGACCCAGCACCUCUGCGAACUUGCCCAAGGCUCCAUGCAAACUCCGGGCGAGGAGGCAGUGGGCGCCACAGUCUUCCGGCUGCACCCUGCGGCCCUCCCACUCGCUCUCCCCAAAGCUCCCGCCCAUCCAUCUCCAGGAACCGCCGCCCAGACUCGGGUUACCGGCCGCGCCCUCACUGCCAGCAAAUCGCAGCGCAGCGGCGGCAGCAGGCCGCGUGGCCCUUUCACUCCGGAAACCACCCUCUGAACCAGGGCGGGUCUGCGCACCGCGCACCUGCGCUCGGGUCUCAGAGCCCGGUGCUUGGAGACUCACCUUCCAGCCCCAGACCAAGCGGGCCGGGGGCCCAGGGAACUCUAGGCUAGAGGCGGCCGCCGUGGGAACCUGAGGGCUCGGGAGCCCUCCCAGCCCUGGUACCUGGGAGGUUCCAGCUGUUGCUGCGGCCGCUGCUAUUCCAGCUUGGUGGACGCUUCACGUCCGCUUUGCUUUCGGGCCGGAUUCCGGCGUUGACUCAGAGCACCGGGAGAUGGCGCUGGCCUGUGCAGUCUCUGACCCCGCACCCCCAGGCUGGACUUCCGGGGCGGAGGCUGAGCCUCGCGCGCACCCUCCUGGCCCCGCCUGAGAGCAGAAGGCUUGGCGGGGGAGGCAGGUAAGAUGUACCUUUACCUAAAGGCAAUCGACUAUUUAUUUUGAAGAAUACUUGCUAGAUUUUCUACUACUAAUAGGCCAUUUAUGAUCACAGAAAAGUUCACCACAUUUGGAGCACCAGACUUUAAAAAAAAAAUGCAGUCAAGUUAAAAUGAAGUCAUACUGGAUAAGGGUGGGCUCUAAUUCAACGACUGCUGUUCUUACGAGAGGAGAGAAAUUUGGACACAGACACACAGAGUGUGAAAACACGGAGACAUAGGAGAGACGAAGAAGAAAGUUCUGUUAUCAACAGAGGCAGAGAUUGGAGAGAUGUGUCUACAAGCCAAGGAUUGCCAAUAACCAUCAGCGACUAGGAGACAGGCAUGGAACGGUUUCUUCCCUGAAGCUUUCCAAGGGAGCAAGGCCCUGCUAACACCUUCGCUUCAGACUUGCAGCUUCCAGAACUAUGAGAGAAUACAUUUCUAUUGGUUUAAACCACACAGUUUGUGGUAAUUUGUUAUGGCAGCCCUAGGAUUUAUGGCACAUUUCUAUCAUCACAGGAAGAUCCGGACAGCUCUGUAAUCUAGAGCAGCAGUCCCCAAAGUUUUUGGCACCAGGGACCGGUUUCGUGGAAGACAAUUCUUCCC